CUUUAUUGUCCAGCUUCAAAACUACUAAAUAAACUAGAAACCAAUACCAUGGGAAUGCUGAUAGCUGCUGCUUGAGAUUUUGCUGGGCUGAAUUUGGCUUUCACUUUCUACUGAACAAGCAUCACUGAAGUUUUGUCUGUACUAUAGCCCCAUCUGCCCCUGGUUCUGCAUGACUGGAAAUUUGUACUCAGUGUGAAGUUUCCAUGACAGUGAGGCAUGUGCUGCAACUUACAAGAAAUAUGUUAAGGGAUGCUCUGAGAUGUGACAUGAAGGUGCCCAGCCAACAGAAGAGCUCUGCAGACCUUCCUCCUUUUAAAAAGCUGAGGUCUUCUGGCACCUGUGAGGAGAAUGGUGAGAAGCUUCACAGAUUAAACAGAUUUUGGUACUUGACCUAAAAGGAUCAACAGGAAAAGCAAAUGCAGCAGACACCACUCUCAGCACAGCCCCACACAGCUCUGCACAGUGGUACCAACCCAGAGAGAGAAUCUGUGCUGGGACACUGACUUUUCCUGAGCUAUUGGAAAAGCUGAUCAUUGCCAAGAGAUAUGGAAAACAGCAUUUUUUGUCAGCUCCAAGCAGGCAUGGAGUAAGAACAAUUGGGAAUCUUUGUAUCUGGCAUUUCCCAUGUAAAGUUGGUGCUCCUGCUUCAGACUGUUAACAUUGCCACCAAGCUGGGACAAGGAAACCCCCUUGGUAUCAGCCUCAGAACUGACCUAUGAACCACAGGACCCAGGACCUCUGGUCUCCUUUCACUUGAUCUGCAGCCGCUGCAGCACUGGGAUUCCUCAUGACUAUCAGGGAAACUUUCAGAGCUUUUUCCUGUGAAAUUUUUCAUUGUUGAAAUCUCUAGAACUCAAGUUAGAUAGCAACUAAAGUGCCUUCCUAUACAUGUAGUCUGACAACUUCCAUCAGAUGACCCAUAAGGAUUUUCAAAAUCUUAUGUUAC
Long non-coding RNA from Oenanthe melanoleuca, 946 nucleotides. RefSeq lists it as uncharacterized. The transcript has 5 exons. The record is from RefSeq and is a predicted model, not a curated record. Lineage: Eukaryota; Metazoa; Chordata; Aves; Passeriformes; Muscicapidae.